Molecule: ribosomal RNA, 471 nt
Filed under: uncultured bacterium
Lineage: Bacteria
Description: bacterial SSU rRNA
Rfam family: Bacterial small subunit ribosomal RNA
Source: RNAcentral
AUUGAACGCUGGCGGCAGGCCUAACACAUGCAAGUCGAGCGGAUGAAGAGAGCUUGCUCUCUGAUUCAGCGGCGGACGGGUGAGUAAUGCCUAGGAAUCUGCCCUGGUAGUGGGGGACAACGUUUCGAAAGGAACGCUAAUACCGCAUACGUCCUACGGGAGAAAGCAGGGGACCUUCGGGCCUUGCGCUAUCAGAUGAGCCUAGGUCGGAUUAGCUAGUUGGUGAGGUAAUGGCUCACCAAGGCGACGAUCCGUAACUGGUCUGAGAGGAUGAUCAGUCACACUGGAACUGAGACACGGUCCAGACUCCUACGGGAGGCAGGCAGUGGGGAAUAUUGGACAAUGGGCGAAAGCCUGAUCCAGCCAUGCCGCGUGUGUGAAGAAGGUCUUCGGAUUGUAAAGCACUUUAAGUUGGGUAGGAAGGGGUUGUAGAUUAAUACUCUGCAAUUUUGACGUUACCGACAGAAUAAG